This 155-nucleotide ribosomal RNA is filed under the name Ophiostoma piceae. RNAcentral describes it as "5.8S ribosomal RNA". It matches the Rfam family "5.8S ribosomal RNA". From Rfam's summary of the family: 5.8S ribosomal RNA (5.8S rRNA) is a component of the large subunit of the eukaryotic ribosome. Lineage: Eukaryota; Fungi; Ascomycota; Sordariomycetes; Ophiostomatales; Ophiostomataceae. The record is from RNAcentral. RNAcentral also lists the same sequence under 2 other names.
AACUUUCAACAACGGAUCUCUUGGCUCUGGCAUCGAUGAAGAACGCAGCGAAAUGCGAUACGUAAUGCGAAUUGCAGAAUUCAGCGAGUCAUCGAAUCUUUGAACGCACAUUGCGCCCGCCAGCAUUCUGGCGGGCAUGCCUGUCCGAGCGUCAU